GGGUCCGUAGCUUAGUCUGGUGGAGUAAUUGGCUCAUAACCGAUUGGUCGCAGGUUCAAAUCCUGCCGGGCCCA
This 74-nucleotide transfer RNA is filed under the name Thermoplasmatota archaeon. RNAcentral describes it as "Candidatus Thermoplasmatota archaeon (groundwater metagenome) tRNA-Ile". It matches the Rfam family "tRNA". From Rfam's summary of the family: Transfer RNA (tRNA) molecules are approximately 80 nucleotides in length. Lineage: Archaea; Methanobacteriati; Thermoplasmatota. The record is from RNAcentral.